Gadus macrocephalus (Pacific cod) is the source of this 498-nucleotide long non-coding RNA. RefSeq lists it as uncharacterized. The record is from RefSeq and is a predicted model, not a curated record. The transcript is spliced from 4 exons. NCBI's taxonomy places the organism in Eukaryota, Metazoa, Chordata, Actinopteri, Gadiformes, Gadidae.
GGAGGCAUUGGCCGGCACCACCCUAAAAAACCAUGUUGCUGGGGUGUCAGAUGGGAAAAGGCUAACUAAAUUUAUACUAUUUGAGGAAUUGGCAAAGGGAAUAGAGGAGGGGAAUUCGUAUAGGAUGAAAAAAUUUGGGUGGAGCAAUUACGGGGACAUCAGAGUGAUGCUGACAAGGCAUCAGGCCGUGGCCUAUAUCGCUGCUGCGGUCGAAGUCCCCGCCCACCUGGAGGCAGAGGCUCGGGACUUAAUAUGUCCCGAGUCAAUGCUCGUCCCUCUGCCAGAGUUGGCAGAGGUCGAGGAGAUUACGCUGUUGACUGUUCAGGGCUGGGUCAAAGAACUAGGUGCGUUCCACCCGCAAACAACACCCGGUGGCCCGCCAGUGCCUCGAAGGACCGUGGUGCUGAAAGAUGUAAGGAAUUGAUCAUACACCUCCACUCAACAGGGCACACUUCAGUGGAAGUUAUCCAUGGAGACAAGGAGGUCCAGGUCAUGGGG